GGCACGUGACAAAUUUCUUUUGGCCCGCAUCAUGGCAUUACAUUAUAGGAUAAUAAAACCGCCGCUCUACAUACCCUAACUCUCAUAGUUUCAUCAGUUUUAAUUUUUUUUCAUCUUUCUCCGUACCCAGUUCUCCAAAAACACUAAGAGAUUCAUGGAAUUAGGAUUUGGAUCUGUAUUUUUAGCGUGGUUCUUAUAAAUUGGGAAGCGGAAUUUUCUUUUCUCUCAUUCCUUUGUGCUAGUUAGUAAUUAUUCAAAGAGUAGCAAUUGGGGUUCAAAUUCAAUCCUUAUUGGUUGAGCUAGGUUAUUUUCCUCCCUUUACAGAUCUGGUCUUCACUUUUUGAGUUAUGCCUGUCCUUAUUAUGCCGUAUUAUUUUGCUAGAUUCAACGUUGCUUUAGAGGUCAAUGAAUUUAUCCAGGUUUCUCAAACUUGCAUUGUUUUAUAAUUGAUGGAACUCUUGAUUUCCUACAUCAGUAUGUAUUUGGCAGCAUGAAGUACUUUAGUGUUGUGGACUAAGAAUUUCAGUACUCUUAAGCAAUGAAACCAGAGGAUGUUAUGACUAUUAUAUGUGUCAAGUCUACAAAUUAAUCAAGUCAUUCCAUGAAGACGUUAAAUUAGCUCCAAUUCAAUAGAGAGAAGUUGCGUGUUUUUCGAAAUAGUGGUAGUAUUGCAACUAUGCAUUUUUAUUUAAUGUUAGCAGUUUAAGAGAUCGAAUGUCUUGUAAAUGAAUAUUAGUUUAAUAAUGUUAGAAUAUAUUCAUAGUUUUUUGCAUUAUUUUACAUAUGUAUACAUAUAAUAAUUUGUACUCUUGUUUAAUUAUGAAUAAAUUCUAUUUAUGGGUAAA
This is a long non-coding RNA of Chenopodium quinoa (quinoa), 845 nucleotides long. RefSeq lists it as uncharacterized. The transcript is spliced from 4 exons. Lineage: Eukaryota; Viridiplantae; Streptophyta; Magnoliopsida; Caryophyllales; Amaranthaceae. The record is from RefSeq and is a predicted model, not a curated record.